AGUGAACGCUGGCGGUAGGCCUAACACAUGCAAGUCGAACGGCAGCACAGUAAGAGCUUGCUCUUACGGGUGGCGAGUGGCGGACGGGUGAGGAAUACAUCGGAAUCUACUUUUUCGUGGGGGAUAACGUAGGGAAACUUACGCUAAUACCGCAUACGACCUACGGGUGAAAGCAGGGGAUCUUCGGACCUUGCGCGAUUGAAUGAGCCGAUGUCGGAUUAGCUAGUUGGCGGGGUAAAGGCCCACCAAGGCGACGAUCCGUAGCUGGUCUGAGAGGAUGAACAGCCACCCUGGAACAGAAACACGGCCAAGACUCCUCGGGGGGGCAGCAGUGGGGAAUAUUGGACAAGGGGCGCAGGCCGGAUCCAGCCAUACCGCGGGGGUGAAAAAGGCUUUGGGGUUGUAAACCCCUUUUGUUGGAAAAAAAAAGCAGCAGUUUAAUACCCCGCUGUUCUGACGGUACCAAAAAAAAAAGCACCGCCUAACUUCGUC
This 492-nucleotide ribosomal RNA is filed under the name uncultured bacterium. RNAcentral describes it as "partial 16S ribosomal RNA". It matches the Rfam family "Bacterial small subunit ribosomal RNA", at positions 29 to 507 of the family's 1533-position model. The record is from RNAcentral.